UUCCGACUUAGCUCAGUUGGUAGAGCACCUGACUGUUAAUCAGGUUGUCGCCGGUUCGAGCCCGGCAGUCGGAGUC
Molecule: transfer RNA, 76 nt
Filed under: Leuconostoc pseudomesenteroides
Lineage: Bacteria; Bacillati; Bacillota; Bacilli; Lactobacillales; Lactobacillaceae
Description: tRNA-Asn(gtt)
Rfam family: tRNA
About the family: Transfer RNA (tRNA) molecules are approximately 80 nucleotides in length.
Source: RNAcentral